GUGGGGAAUAUUGGGCAAUGGGCGCAAGCCUGACCCAGCAACGCCGCGUGAGGGAAGAAGGCUUUCGGGUUGUAAACCUCUGUCCUUGGUGACGAAACAAAUGACGGUAGCCAAGGAGGAAGCCCCGGCUAACUACGUGCCAGCAGCCGCGGUAUACGUAGGGGGCGAGCGUUGUCCGGAAUUACUGGGCGUAAAGGGUGCGUAGGUGGCCUUUUAAGUUGGAUGUGAAAUACCCGGGCUUAACUUGGGGGGUGCAUCCAAAACUGGGAGGCUAGAGUGCAGGAGAGGAAAGCGGAAUUCCUAGUGUAGCGGUGAAAUGCGUAGAUAUUAGGAGGAACACCAGUGGCGAAGGCGGCUUUCUGGACUGUAACUGACACUGAAGCACGAAAGCGUGGGGAUCAAACAGGAUUAGAUACCCGUGUAGUCC
Molecule: ribosomal RNA, 427 nt
Filed under: uncultured bacterium
Lineage: Bacteria
Description: partial 16S ribosomal RNA
Rfam family: Bacterial small subunit ribosomal RNA
Source: RNAcentral